RNAcentral lists this long non-coding RNA (1119 nucleotides) under Marmota monax (woodchuck). Lineage: Eukaryota; Metazoa; Chordata; Mammalia; Rodentia; Sciuridae. The record is from RNAcentral.
CACAGUUUCUGCUUCUCUGAGUUUCUUGGACAUAAACGAUAAUAAUUAUAAAGAUUUUUCUGCUUCCUUAUUUCACAGAAGAUCUUUGGUUCUGAAUGGUUGUCCAUCCUCCCUGAGAAACCAUAGAAAGUCAGUUGGUUCUUCAUAUCCGUUGCUCAACUUUUGAGCCUUCUAUAAAUUUGAAUUCUCCCUUAGAAAAUACUGUCUUCUUUGUUUUGAGAAUAUUAAAAAGAAGGCCUUCUCAGAGCUGAAAAUUAUUUCCCACUUCAGCUUGACACCCUGCAUUUUAAAAUACAGAGCCAGUUGCCUCCAACAUAUGAAUUAUUUCAGACUUUAGUUUUUUUUUAAAGAUGUUGCAAACAAAGAAUCCCAUUCAAAAAUGGGCAAAGACUCCAAUAGACAUUUCUCCAAGGAAGAUAUACAAAUGGCCAAUAAGCACAUGAAAAGAUGUUCAGCUUCACAAGUCGUUAGGGAAAUGCAAAUCAAGAUCACAAUAAGAUACCAUUUCUUGUCUACUGGAAUGGCUAUUAUCAACAAAGCAGAAAAAACAAGGGUUGAUGAAGAUGUGGAGAAAUAGGAACCCUGUGUAUCGCUGGUGGGAAUGUAAAAUGGUACUGCCACCGUGGAAGGCAGCCUGGCAGUACCUCAGAAAGUUAAACAUAGAAUUCCCAUAUGAUCCAGCAAUUCCAUUUCUGAGUAUGCGCCCAAAAUAAUUGAAAGUAGAGACUCAAGUGGAUAUAUGUACACCCAUGUUCAUAGCAACACCAUUCACAAUAGCCAAAAGGUGCAAACAACCCACAUCAAGGGAUAAACAAAAUGCGGUGCAUCCGCACAACGGAAUAUUAUUCAGUCUUAAAAAGGAAUGACACUCUGACAGGUGCUACAAUACGAAUGAGCCUUGAAAACAAGCUAAGUGAAACAAUCCAGACACAAAAGGACAACGUCAAUGUGUAACUCCACUUAACUAGAAUAGGCAAAGCUAUAGACAAAGUGCAGUGGCAAUUACUGGGCCUGAAGGAAAGCGGAAUGGGCAGUCACUACUCCAGGAUACAGGGUUUCUCUUUGGAAUCAUGAUAAAGUUCUGGGAAUGAAUAAUGGUGGUAAUUUCACAGUAUUGAG